UACAGAGGUCUCAAGCGUUGUUCGGAUUCAUUGGGCGUAAAGGGUGCGUAGGUGGCGGGGUAAGUCAGGUGUGAAAUUUCGGAGCUUAACUCCGAAACUGCAUUUGAUACUGCCUUGCUUGAGGACUGGAGAGGAGAGUGGAAUUCCUGGUGUAGCGGUGAAAUGCGCAGAUAUCAGGAAGAACACCCGUGGCGAAGGCGGCUCUCUGGGACGGUACUGACGCUGAGACGCGAAAGCGUGGGGAGCGAACAGG
RNAcentral lists this ribosomal RNA (253 nucleotides) under uncultured bacterium. RNAcentral's name for it is "partial 16S ribosomal RNA". It matches the Rfam family "Bacterial small subunit ribosomal RNA", at positions 524 to 776 of the family's 1533-position model. The record is from RNAcentral.